RNAcentral lists this ribosomal RNA (200 nucleotides) under uncultured bacterium. RNAcentral's name for it is "partial 16S ribosomal RNA". It matches the Rfam family "Bacterial small subunit ribosomal RNA", at positions 8 to 238 of the family's 1533-position model. The record is from RNAcentral.
AGAGUUUGAUCAUGGCUCAGAAUCAACGCUGGCGGCAGGCUUAACACAUGCAAGUCGAGCGCCCAGCAAUGGGAGCGGCGGACGGGUGAAUAACGCGUGGGAAUAUGCCCUUUGGUUCGGAACAACUCAGGGAAACUUGAGCUAAUACCGGAUGAGCCAGAAAUGGGAAAGAUUUAUCGCCAAAGGAUUAGCCCGCGUCC